RNAcentral lists this non-coding RNA (90 nucleotides) under Clostridium magnum. RNAcentral's name for it is "Glycine sequence". It matches the Rfam family "Glycine riboswitch aptamer". Rfam says of the family: This family represents the bacterial glycine riboswitch. Glycine riboswitches usually consist of two metabolite-binding aptamers domains with similar structures in tandem. The aptamers cooperatively bind glycine to regulate the expression of downstream genes. The record is from RNAcentral. RNAcentral also lists the same sequence under 1 other name. Lineage: Bacteria; Bacillati; Bacillota; Clostridia; Eubacteriales; Clostridiaceae.
GGACGGACCUCUGGAGAGACUCAAAUGAGCACCGAAGGGGAAAACCAAGUUUUUGGUGAAACUCUCAGGUAAAAGGACAGAGCAUUUUUA